CAGUCGCCGCGGGAAUACGUAGGGUCCGAGCGUUGUCCGGAAUUAUUGGGCGUAAAGGGCUCGUAGGCGGUUUGUUGCGUCGGGAGUGAAAACCCAGGGCUUAACUUUGGGCUUGCUUUCGAUACGGGCAGACUUGAGGCAUUGAGGGGAGAACGGAAUUCCUGGUGUAGCGGUGAAAUGCGCAGAUAUCAGGAGGAACACCGGUGGCGAAGGCGGUUCUCUGGCAAUGUUCUGACGCUGAGGAGCGAAAGUGUGGGGAGCGAACAGGAUUAGAUACCCCAGUAGUCCCUGUCUCUUAUAA
This 301-nucleotide ribosomal RNA is filed under the name uncultured bacterium. RNAcentral's name for it is "partial 16S ribosomal RNA". It matches the Rfam family "Bacterial small subunit ribosomal RNA", at positions 509 to 809 of the family's 1533-position model. The record is from RNAcentral.